Long non-coding RNA from Columba livia (rock pigeon), 1254 nucleotides. RefSeq lists it as uncharacterized. The record is from RefSeq and is a predicted model, not a curated record. NCBI's taxonomy places the organism in Eukaryota, Metazoa, Chordata, Aves, Columbiformes, Columbidae. The transcript has 3 exons.
UUGGCUUCUAAGGGUUGACUGCCCUCUCGCAGACCUGCUCUUCAAACUCCUCAGCAGUUGUCAUCCUUUCUCCCACGCUGCCCUCAAGAGUGGGAAGAACUCAGUAAAUAUCCACAUAGUCACCUUGCUAGCCUCUAAAUUCAGUUCUCAAAAUGCCUUGAGAAGAAGGAAAAAACUCUAUGGGGUCGUCAAACUUUUGCAAGAGGUUUCAUCAUGCAAGGUGCAAAUGUAGACACAGCCCACCAGUAGAAAAGUGUCGCAUCCUACAUGCAGGAUGAAAUCCAGCUGAGUGCAUUCACCCCAAGGCUUCUCAGGAAUGUCUGCCCUGUUUUCUGCUAUUAUGCAGAAAAUGAAGAGAAAUGCCAGCUCACUUCAGGAGACUUUUUUUAUGCACUUCAUCUCUCACCUGUGAAAAAAAAAGGCAGUUGGGAUCUAAGUAGCUGCAUAUACCUUGACUGUUAGCUUGUUAUAUGGUAUUGUAAGAUUGUUUUUCCUCUCUCUCUCUCUUUUUUUUUUUUUUUUUUUUUUUUUUAGGAGGGAACAGUUUGUAGAACACAAAAAGAAAAAAAAGUUUAAGUGUAUUGUGCUCAAAAUAUACAGUUCUUGUGUCUAUAACAUUUUCCUUGCUGAGGGCUAUAAAAGCCUUUCAAACAUAUUUGGUGGGUUGUAUAAACAUACACUUCAGUGUUAUUUAUAAUAAAGAGGAAAAAUUCACAUGGCUUCAGGCUAUAAGAAGUGAAGUCUUAUAUUUACCCAGACUCCUCUUACAUGUUGAUUCAUAGUUGAAGUCUCCUAAGAAGGACACUAUGUGAACCACAUUUCUGCAUUAAAGAUUUAUUUUUAAUGGGGAUUUUAUUGCACUAUUUAAUUGUAUAAGACACUUCUAUAUAAAAUAAAUACAUAAGUGGGAAACAAAAUUAUUUCUUUACUUUUAGAACAGACUUUGUUUUCAGCUCAAGUGCUUAAGAUUUUGGGAUGAAGACUCUAGUGAUACCAAUGAGUGUUACUGACAAAAUUAACUAUGUUUCAAGUCUAGCAAGUGUUUUCAGAUCAAAUGACACAGGAGUUAAAUAGAAAAUGUACCAAAAUAUGACUGCUACAUAUUAUUAUUUGACCUUGUUAUUUACGGUAAGAACAUUUGUAAUCUAAUUAUGCUGAAAAUCUUUGAUAGACUGUCACUGCAUCCUUCCAACACCAGUUAGUCAUGAGAGGCAUGUGAACUGACUUUCUGGAAUAAACUUCAUUUCUCCUGUC